AGCUCCAAUAGCGUAUAUUAAAAUUGUUGCGGUUAAAACGCUCGUAGUUGGAUACCUGCCAAGGGUGGUCGGUCCUCCUCAGUGGAGAGUACCGGGGUUAGCCCUUGGCGCUAGUUCAGGAAACGUGUGCGCUUAAUUGUGUGCCGCGUGACUUGAACUUUUACUUUGAGGAAAUGAGAGUGUUUCAAGCAGGCGUUUGCCGUGAAUAUGAUAGCAUGGAAUAAUAGCAUCGGGCCCCUUUCCAAAGCUGUUGGUUUUUGGAACGAGGUAAUCGAAAUAAGGAUAGUUGGGGGUAUUCGUAUUUAACUGUCAGAGGUGAAAUUCUUGGAUUUUUUAAAGACGAACUAUUGCGAAGGCAUCUACCCAGGAUGUUUUUG
RNAcentral lists this ribosomal RNA (377 nucleotides) under uncultured eukaryote. Its description in RNAcentral is "SSU rRNA". It matches the Rfam family "Eukaryotic small subunit ribosomal RNA", at positions 587 to 972 of the family's 1831-position model. The record is from RNAcentral.